AUCGAAUUACUAUGCCCGUUAGAAUUCGCGACCCUACGGAAAGAUUUGGUGCAUUUAUCCCUCUCUUUGAGCCACAUGACCCUAGAUUUGUUAUGCCUGACAAUCUCCUCCAUCUCUAAAACCUCUCCAACUCUCCCCUUAACUCUCGACGUCUCUCCCUCUUCACCUCAACCAACCCUCGACUUUCCUCCUGCCUAUCUAACUCCUCUGUCUAAAAGGCACUAAUUUUUAUGCCAGCUUACAUUGCCCACCACCUUGUCAUUCCACCUCUUUAAAUCCCCUUUCAAUGCCUUCAACUUCUGAUCCAACACAUGACUAGGGACUCCUUGAAAUCAUAAGAUGCCCACCAAGUCCGUCCACGCUCCCCAAAACCUUCGACUUUUAACCACAUCUUCUCAAUCCUAAAAGGCUUUCUUCCACUACCCCUCAUAUUUCCUAACAAUGAAAUGAGGAAAUGAUCAGAAUACACCCUCCCUAAUCUCCUCUGAGUGAGCCUCCAACUCCCCACUAACAAAGAAUCGAUCUGUUCGAGACUGAAUAGGUUGAUCUCGAUUAGAUGAUCAAGUAAAAUCUCCCCUAAUCAUAGGCAAAUCCACCAACAUAUUCUCCCUAAUAAAGUCUGAGAAGUCCUUCAUAGCCCCUAUUAGUCUCCAACCACUAAACCUCUCAGUAGAAAAUCAAACCAUAUUAACAUCACACCCAAUCCAUGUUAGGAGAUUCCACCAAGUCAUCAUACUAGCCAACUCCUCCCACAAGCCCUUUAUACUUUCAUCAGCAAUAGGACCAUAAAUUUAUAUAAACAUCCACUAGAAUCUAUCACUAGUAUUUCUAAAUGAAAGUGACAUAGAAUGACCCUACGCUAACCUCCUCCAUAUCAAAAACUCUAGUAUUCUACAUGCCUAGCACCCUACCUGAUGCUUCUGAAGAUCCUAAAAACUGAUGCCCUAAAUGCUAUCCCCCCUUAGCUGCUAACCAUAGCCCUCGAUACAAACUCCAUCUUAGUUUCUUGUAAACAGACAACGUCCGCCCUCCAUUCCCUUAUCAAAUUUCGAAUACCUAACCUUUUCCCCUCUUCAUUAAGCCCCCUCACAUUCCAACUUAUGAUUUUUGGACUCAUUUCAACGCUCCCUCAUCCCUCCCAACAAUUCUCUCUUUGACUCUCCACUCUUAAGGUCAUAAUUUACUAACCAUUCGAGCUGCUUAAGUUUGCAGUCGCCAUUUUUUCUUGGUUUACCUUCUUCCUGUCUCCUACUAGUCUCCAGUUCCUCAAAUAGUUGCAAAAGUCUACUUUCAUAUCCAUCACAGGACACACCAACCAUCUUGCUUAAAUCCUAAAUUUUUUGAAGAACCCAGUUCAAAGGCAGAGCCUAUCUGUGAUGCGGACAUCCAUUUACUAUUUAUUUUCUUCCAUUUACUGUUUAUUUUCUUUUUAGACUGUUAGUUAUAUUCUAUUUGGAUUAUUAUUUAUAUUUCUGUUAUUGGGCUUAUUUAGUGGGUUUGGCCCAAGCCCUUCUCUUUAGGGUUUGUGUUCUGCUAUUUAUUUCUAUUUUGUUGGUUUAUAUUACUGUUUCAUUCUGAAAUUGCAUCAAUUAAAUUUUUGUGCUGCUGCUGAUCUAUUUUUAUCUAAACUCACGUAAUUGGAUCCUUUGACCUCGUUAAAUCUCACUUUAACCUGCUUAUUUUACGUGAUUAGGUUUUGACUAGUAUUUGACCAUUGCUUUAUUAUUUUACAUAUACCAGCAGUACUAGCUUGUUG
This 1756-nucleotide long non-coding RNA is filed under the name Olea europaea subsp. europaea. The record is from RNAcentral. Lineage: Eukaryota; Viridiplantae; Streptophyta; Magnoliopsida; Lamiales; Oleaceae.